This is a non-coding RNA of Schizosaccharomyces pombe (fission yeast), 242 nucleotides long. NCBI's taxonomy places the organism in Eukaryota, Fungi, Ascomycota, Schizosaccharomycetes, Schizosaccharomycetales, Schizosaccharomycetaceae. The record is from the annotation of a GenBank genome assembly.
UAAUACAAAAGCCAUGAUAUCCUCACAACAUUUGGUAUUAAAUGAAGCGAAUAAUAAAUUCCUAGAACAGACAAGAGAAGAAGCAAAGAAUACACAUGUCUAUUUCACUUUCCUUUAUAAACAUGAUAAGUAGCGAAAAGAACAAAUAUUAGAGGAUUGAAAUAGAGGGAUGCUUAGUAUUUUAAGAUGAUAUAGAGAGCGUGAAUAAUACCGGGAACGUAACCAAGACAACAAAGAAGAAU